GAUAGGUGGGAGGCUUUGAAGUGUGGACGCCAGUCUGCAUGGAGCCGACCUUGAAAUACCACCCUUUAAUGUUUGAUGUUCUAACGUGGACCCGUUACCCGGGUUGCGGACAGUGUCUGGUGGGUAGUUUGACUGGGGCGGUCUCCUCCUAAAGAGUAACGGAGGAGCACGAAGGUUGGCUAAUCCUGGUCGGACAUCAGGAGGUUAGUGCAAUGGCAUAAGCCAGCUUGACUGCGAGCGUGACGGCGCGAGCAGGUGCGAAAGCAGGUCAUAGUGAUCCGGUGGUUCUGAAUGGAAGGGCCAUCGCUCAACGGAUAAAAGGUACUCCGGGGAUAACAGGCUGAUACCGCCCAAGAGUUCAUAUCGACGGCGGUGUUUGGCACCUCGAUGUCGGCUCAUCACAUCCUGGGGCUGAAGUAGGUCCCAAGGGUAUGGCUGUUCGCCAUUUAAAGUGGUACGCGAGCUGGGUUUAGAACGUCGUGAGACAGUUCGGUCCCUAUCUGCCGUGGGCGCUGGAGAACUGAGGGGGGCUGCUCCUAGUACGAGAGGACCGGAGUGGACGCAUCACUGGUGUUCGGGUUGUCAUGCCAAUGGCACUGCCCGGUAGCUAAAUGCGGAAGAGAUAAGUGCUGAAAGCAUCUAAGCACGAAACUUGCCCCGAGAUGAGUUCUCCCUGAGACUUAGAGUCUCCUGAAGGAACGUUGAAGACGACGACGUUGAUAGGCCGGGUGUGUAAGCGCAGCGAUGCGUUGAGCUAACCGGUACUAAUGAACCGUGAGGCUUAACCUUACAACGCCGAAG
Molecule: ribosomal RNA, 801 nt
Filed under: Salmonella enterica
Lineage: Bacteria; Pseudomonadati; Pseudomonadota; Gammaproteobacteria; Enterobacterales; Enterobacteriaceae
Description: partial 23S ribosomal RNA
Rfam family: Bacterial large subunit ribosomal RNA
Source: RNAcentral